UGGCGACCGGCGCACGGGUGAGUAACACGUAUCCAACCUGCCGUCUACUCUUGGACAGCCUUCUGAAAGGAAGAUUAAUACAAGAUGGCAUCAUGAGUCCGCAUGUUCACAUGAUUAAAGGUAUUCCGGUAGACGAUGGGGAUGCGUUCCAUUAGAUAGUAGGCGGGGUAACGGCCCACCUAGUCUUCGAUGGAUAGGGGUUCUGAGAGGAAGGUCCCCCACAUUGGAACUGAGACACGGUCCAAACUCC
This 250-nucleotide ribosomal RNA is filed under the name uncultured Bacteroides sp. Its description in RNAcentral is "partial 16S ribosomal RNA". It matches the Rfam family "Bacterial small subunit ribosomal RNA", at positions 89 to 339 of the family's 1533-position model. Lineage: Bacteria; Pseudomonadati; Bacteroidota; Bacteroidia; Bacteroidales; Bacteroidaceae. The record is from RNAcentral.